AAUCUAGUUUCAACAAUGCUUUUUAAAGUUUUUCUCAAGAUAACAAUCACCUUUACGUAGGAAGUCGGAGGGCCUACCUCCUUCCCCAAUCUAGAUUCAGUGAUGAGAUCUUGGAAUUAUUUGGCUUUUUGGCUUUUUAUGAUCUCCCUUAUACUCACUUAUACUACUGGCGCUUUGAGAAUUUUUAAAGGUUAAUGCACCACUAAGAUUAGAACGCGUUUCCUUAAAAUACCUAUUCAUACAUUUACUCAAGGGAAGCAACUUUGUGUUUUUCUCAUUGGAGAAUUUUAUUCACUUUAAAACAAGAUGUGGUUAUAUCAAGAAGACUUAAAACACAAGAGUUUGCUUU
This 349-nucleotide long non-coding RNA is filed under the name Medicago truncatula (barrel medic). RNAcentral's name for it is "long non-coding RNA (MTRU_LNC004342)". Lineage: Eukaryota; Viridiplantae; Streptophyta; Magnoliopsida; Fabales; Fabaceae. The record is from RNAcentral.